RNAcentral lists this non-coding RNA (198 nucleotides) under Desulfocicer vacuolatum. Lineage: Bacteria; Pseudomonadati; Thermodesulfobacteriota; Desulfobacteria; Desulfobacterales; Desulfobacteraceae. The record is from RNAcentral.
UGUGGUAUUGUUUUUUCAUAUUACUGAGAUCGCUGUCCCCAGGGAACCCGGUGCAAUUCCGGGACGGACCCGCCGCUGUAAGUGAGGACGAACGCUGCAUAAAUGUCACUGUGCUGUUAAGGAUCGAAACUGCAUGGGAAGGCGCGGCAAGUAGGAAGAAUCACAAGUCAGAAUAUCUGUUGGACCAGUGUAAAUAAA